This is a non-coding RNA of Pteropus alecto (black flying fox), 74 nucleotides long. NCBI's taxonomy places the organism in Eukaryota, Metazoa, Chordata, Mammalia, Chiroptera, Pteropodidae. The record is from Rfam.
GGUUCCACAGUGUAGCAGUUAGCACGUCUGCUUUACACGCAGAAGGUCCUGGGUUCGCACCCCAGGUGGAGCCA